AUACAUAGGGGGCAAGCGUUAUCCGGAAUUAUUGGGCGUAAAGGGUGCGUAGGCGGUCUAUUAAGUCUGAGGUGUAAGUGCAGGGCUCAACCCUGUGAUGCUUUAGAAACUGGUAGACUUGAGUGAGAUAGAGGCAAGUGGAAUUCCAUGUGUAGCGGUAAAAUGCGUAAAUAUAUGGAGGAACACCAGUGGCGAAGGCGGCUUGCAGGGUCUAUACUGACGCUGAGGCACGAAAGCGUGGGGAGCAAACAGGAUUAGAUACCCUGAUAGUCCACGCCGUAAACGAUGAGUACUAAGUGUUGCGAGAACGCAGUGCUGAAGCUAACAUAUUAAGUACUCCGCCUGAGUAGUACGUACGCAAGUAUGAAACUCAAAGGAAUUGACGGGG
Molecule: ribosomal RNA, 388 nt
Filed under: uncultured bacterium
Lineage: Bacteria
Description: partial 16S ribosomal RNA
Rfam family: Bacterial small subunit ribosomal RNA
Source: RNAcentral